This is a long non-coding RNA of Nicotiana tabacum (common tobacco), 657 nucleotides long. RefSeq lists it as uncharacterized. Lineage: Eukaryota; Viridiplantae; Streptophyta; Magnoliopsida; Solanales; Solanaceae. The record is from RefSeq and is a predicted model, not a curated record.
UUUCUUUGAGUAAAAUUGUUCCCUAUUUUGAAAGGGCAAAAGAAAGAACCAUCGAAGUCUCCACCCUCUCUAUAGACCCGUCAAAAUCUCCAUCUCCACCACUAAGCCGCUUGGUUCCACCGGUACCAAAUCCAGCAUCCCUGAAAUUUUCUUCUCCAUUGACCCAACAUAUGCGUCUAAGAAAGAGAAAAUUUCAGCAUUCAAAAGUGCACUUAUAUUUCAUCUUCUUGUGGACUAGCAAACAUUGAGCAAGCAUACAGAUAUUGAGCAGCAUUUAGUGCAGUGUUUGGAAAGGAGCAGCAUGGUCAGCCUGGUCGAAUACGAUGGUAUGGUAGAUCAGUGACAGCAAGUACUCUGAAAAAAGAUGAGGAAAUCAGCAAGCUCCAAUAAAAGCAUAACAAUGAAGUCUCUACUUUGAAAGAAGAAAUGCAAGAAAUGAGAGAAGAAAUGCAAGAAUUGAGGCAAUUGCGUCAUUGCUUUAAUCUAUUGGUGCAAAACAAUCCUGGACUCAAUGUUCAAGAUAUACCAGCAUUUGUCGGAUCUAACCAACCUUCUCCAGUUGAUGCAAAUAGCGCACAAGCUGUAUAUCACGACCCAAAAUUCUCACCUUCGGACCGUGAUGGCGCCUAACAUUUCACUUGCUAGGCAAGCCAACGU